This is a long non-coding RNA of Pseudopipra pipra, 527 nucleotides long. RefSeq lists it as uncharacterized. The record is from RefSeq and is a predicted model, not a curated record. Lineage: Eukaryota; Metazoa; Chordata; Aves; Passeriformes; Pipridae. The transcript is spliced from 3 exons.
CCUGCUCUCAGUGGCGUGUUUUCAGGUGAUCCCUGCUCUGUCCGUCAGUCCUGACUCUGCCUGCAGUCUGGGUCUUGUGAUCCAUCCCAGCAGGAUGGGCAACCUCCUCCCAGUGAAGGCUCAGAGAGACACCGAAGAGCCAAUGGAAGUGGACAUGGCGAGAGAUGUGAAAGACGAUGUAGAGGAGAUGGAGGUGGACGUGAAAGAGGAUGUAGAAGAGGAGAUGGAAGUAGAGGAGGAAGGCGAGAAGGAGGAGGCCAUGAUCCUGGGAUAAGGACACCCCAUCCCAUCAGCAGGACUGACGGACCUGCCGGCCAUGGAAUCGGCCACUUGUACAUAUGUUAUUCACCCUUUUCCCAGUUUUUCUGUAAAUACGUUUUAUAUUAGUGAAGUUUUAAGAAGUUUGUUGUUUUUAUAUAGAAGAUAGUUUAAGAAGAUAGAUUUUUAAUAAGAAGAUAGUUUUUUAUUAAGAAAAUAGUUUUUAAGAAGAUAAGUUUCCUUUUUAAGAAGAUAGCUUUUUCUUAAGA